RNAcentral lists this unclassified non-coding RNA (348 nucleotides) under soil metagenome. Its description in RNAcentral is "partial contains 5.8S ribosomal RNA, internal transcribed spacer 2, and large subunit ribosomal RNA". The stretch from base 1 to 120 matches the Rfam family "5.8S ribosomal RNA", at positions 35 to 154 of the family's 154-position model. The record is from RNAcentral.
GAUGAAGAACGUAGCGAAAUGCGAUAAGUAAUGUGAAUUGCAGAAUUCAGUGAAUCAUCGAGUCUUUGAACGCACAUUGCGCCCCCUGGUAUUCCGGGGGGCAUGCCUGUCCGAGCGUCAUUGCUGCCCUCAAGCAUGGCUUGUGUGUUGGGCCCCGCCCCCCGGCUCCCGGGGGGCGGGCCCGAAAGGCAGCGGCGGCACCGCGUCCGGUCCUCGAGCGUAUGGGGCUUCGUCACCCGCUCCGUAGGCCCGGCCGGCGCCCGCCGGCGACCCCCCUCAAUCUUUUCAGGUUGACCUCGGAUCAGGUAGGGAUACCCGCUGAACUUAAGCAUAUCAAUAAGCGGAGGA